CAGUUCUGUGUCCUUCACACUCUUUUUCACAGGAACUGAGGAAAGAUGCCACGUCUAUGAUGAGAUACAGGGUGAAGCAGAGUUUCAGGUUACAAACGGUGUAGAACGAGUCCCUGUACCUACAGAUGCAUACUGCAUGGUAGAAUGUCCAGGUGGAUCAAACCCAAAUGAUCCCACAUAUUACACCAUCCCCGACCAUCAACCGAUGGAAAAUACGACCGGUAAAGACUUUACAGACAUUUAUAACCAAAAUAUUCUGUUGAUAUACUUCUGAAGACAAAACAGUUCAUAUCCAUCAUUUUAUCAUUUUUCCUCACAGACACAUCUGGACCUGACGAGUCCCCGUACUCUGAGAUCUGCGAGCCUUUCACCGGUGGAAAUAAUAAAGAAGGUAACUUUAAGCUUCAGCUCCUCUGUGAACUCCGUAAAUACACAGGUUUAUAACAUGCAGUGUUUCCCCCAGUAUUUUCUGAGACUGUGGCGCCAGU
RNAcentral lists this long non-coding RNA (488 nucleotides) under Sparus aurata (gilthead seabream). RNAcentral's name for it is "lncRNA (ENSSAUG00010001061.1)". Lineage: Eukaryota; Metazoa; Chordata; Actinopteri; Spariformes; Sparidae. The record is from RNAcentral.